This 92-nucleotide transfer RNA is filed under the name Candidatus Uabimicrobium amorphum. Its description in RNAcentral is "Planctomycetes bacterium SRT547 tRNA-Ser". It matches the Rfam family "tRNA". Rfam says of the family: Transfer RNA (tRNA) molecules are approximately 80 nucleotides in length. Lineage: Bacteria; Pseudomonadati; Planctomycetota; Candidatus Uabimicrobiia; Candidatus Uabimicrobiales; Candidatus Uabimicrobiaceae. The record is from RNAcentral.
UGGAGAGGUGGCAGAGUGGCCGAAUGCGGUAGAUUGCUAAUCUAUUGUAGCACUAUUUGAGCUACCGCGGGUUCGAAUCCCGCCCUCUCCGU